Molecule: ribosomal RNA, 207 nt
Filed under: uncultured bacterium
Lineage: Bacteria
Description: partial 16S ribosomal RNA
Rfam family: Bacterial small subunit ribosomal RNA
Source: RNAcentral
CGCAGGUGGUUUGGCAAGUUUGACGUGAAAGCCCCGGGCUUAACCCGGGAAUGGCGUUGAAAACUGCUUGAACUGGAGGAUUGGAGGGGGGGACUGGAAUUCUUGGUGUAGCAGUGAAAUGCGUAGAUAUCAAGAGGAACACCAGUGGCGAAGGCGAGUCCCUGGACAAUACCUGACACUGAGGCACGAAAGCCAAGGGAGCAAACA